AUACUCUAGUUUCUCUUCAGAUCGUAUAAAUCUUACACCUUUUACUAAAGAUUUCCGUGGAAAGGAACAUUUAUGAGUUUCUACUCAAUUUUUUGAGGCUUCAUUUUGGUGAAGCU
This 116-nucleotide small nuclear RNA is filed under the name Chelonoidis abingdonii (Abingdon island giant tortoise). RNAcentral describes it as "U5 spliceosomal RNA (ENSCABG00000005605.1)". It matches the Rfam family "U5 spliceosomal RNA". Rfam says of the family: U5 RNA is a component of both types of known spliceosome. The record is from Rfam by way of RNAcentral. Lineage: Eukaryota; Metazoa; Chordata; Testudines; Testudinidae.